Molecule: ribosomal RNA, 1209 nt
Filed under: Triticum aestivum (bread wheat)
Lineage: Eukaryota; Viridiplantae; Streptophyta; Magnoliopsida; Poales; Poaceae
Description: partial small subunit ribosomal RNA
Source: RNAcentral
AUGGCCGAGCCGGCGCGGCACCUCGCCGACGAGAUCCUGGAGGAGAUCUUCAUUCGCCUGCCCACGCCGGCCGCGCUCGCCCGCGCCUCCACCGCCAGCCCCCGUUUCCGCCGCAUCAUCACCGAGCGCCCCUUCCUCCGCCGCAUCCGCGCUCUCCAUCCGCCGCCACUCCUGGGGUUCGCCGUCGACAAGCGCGCCUUCCACCACGCGCAGGAACCUCAUCCCUCCGCCCCGCUUGCCCGAGCCCUCGCCGACGGCGCGGAUUUCUCCUACUCCUUCGUUCCCGCGCCCCAGCCCCAUCAGGAGCUGCUCAGCCCCUGGUACCACCGUGACAUCCGCGACGGCCGCGUCCUCCUCGAGCGCAGCUACCUGUUCGGCGCGGGUGCAGCCUUCCCAAACCUCGCCGUGUGCGAUCCCGUGUCACGGAGGUACGUGCUGCUCCCGUCCAUACCCGAGGAAAUGGCCGUCCAGCAAGAGCGCCUUGUCGAAUUCGGGCCCAUGCUCGGUCCCGCUGCCGAGGAUGAGGAUGAGACCUCGUUCUCGGUGAUCUGCACGGCGUGCUACAAGAGCAAGUUGGUCACAUUUGUCUUCUCUUCGGUCACCGGACAAUUGUGUGUAGCUGCAUCUCCCAGCUGGAGCUCUUUGGGCACAGCUAAGCCCACUUGGAAAGGCAUUUCCAGCUUCAGCUACUUGCGUGGCUGCUUCUACUGGGGAGCUCUCUGGCAAGACAAGUUUCUCGUGCUGGACACACGCACAAUGGAGUUUUCCACACUGAACAUUCUCACAGGCUACCAUAUGCAGCUUCUAAAUCAGCCUGGCCAGGACCCAUGCAGUCAUACCAUUGCUGGUGGUGCAAAAGGAGCGCUCGAGAUGUUUACUCCUGUCGGUGAUUACCAUUCUACCUUGCUGUAUCACACCACUCAACAAAACAACGGCGAAUCAUCCAAUGAGUGGAAGCUACAAAGGGUUAUAGCGUUGCCUCCCGAAUCACUCUAUUUUACUGUGGGUGCAACUGAGGGAUUCUUAUUCCUUCGAGGAGCUCAGUGGGUUGAUGAUUCAUAUGGGUUCUUGCCCGUCGAUUUUUAUUCUCUGGAUGUCAAGACCGCAGAACUUAAGAAGGUCUGUAGGGUAACAACACACUUUGAUCGUCCCAAUGUUGUUCACUCAUACUUUGGCUUCCCACCAUCAUUGUCCAAACCGAGUCUAUGA